AUAUCUUCAAAAACAAAAUUC
RNAcentral lists this small nuclear RNA (21 nucleotides) under Arabidopsis thaliana (thale cress). RNAcentral's name for it is "snRNA_17712". Lineage: Eukaryota; Viridiplantae; Streptophyta; Magnoliopsida; Brassicales; Brassicaceae. The record is from RNAcentral.